UCGCGAGCCAUUGGAAAUUGAAAUCUUUGUUUAAAAAUCACUGCUUGAUUGAGGGACCAUACAGAUAGUUGUAUGUGUGGGGUACAGAGAUGAGAUAAUUCAGAAAUCAUGUUAACCCCCUAGAGUUGAUGUCUGUAGCUUCUGAACAGUUUGGCCUACAAAACUAAUAUGAUCACUCUAUGGAAAGAUGAGACUCUCACAAGACACUAUGUUGCCUAAAAGCCUGGUAUGAAGGUAGCCUGGUAUGGAGGUAGCCUGGUAGGGAGGUAGCCUGGUAUAAAGGUAUUCUUGGAUGUAGGUAGCCUGUUAGGAAGGUAGUCUGUUAGGAAGGUAGCCUGUUAGGAAGGUAGCCUGGUAGGAAGGUAGCCCGGUAGGGAGGUAGCCUGGUAGGGAGGUAGCCUGGUAGGGAGGUAUUCUUGUAUGAAGGUAGCCUGGUAGGAAGGUAUACUUAUAUGAAGGUAGCCUGGUAGGGAGGUAGCCUGGUAGGGAGGUAGCCUGGUAGGAAGGUAGCCUGGUAGGAAGGUAUACUUAUAUGAAGGUAGCCUGGUAGGAAGGUAUACUUAUAUGAAGGUAGCCUGGUAGGGAGGUAUUCUUGUAUGAAGGUAGCCUGGUAGGGAGGUAGCCUGGUAGGGAGGUAUUCUUGUAUGAAGGUAGCCUGGUAGGGAGGUAGCCUGGUAUGAAGGUAUACUUAUAUGAAGGUAGCAUGGUAGGGAGGUAGCCUGGUAUGAAGGUAGCCUGGUAUGAAGGUAGCCUGGUAGGGAGGUAGCCUGGUAUGAAGGUAUACUUAUAUGAAGGUAGCCUGGUAGGAAGUUAGCCUGGUAUGAAGGUAGCCUGGUACCAGUUAUGGAAGUAUAUAUGGAAGUUGUUAAAUAUGAGUCACAUUUUUUUUAUUUUGAUCUGUCUUAUAUCUCUCAGUUAUAGGACAGACUUUUAAACAAACGUCCUUUAGAUUUUUUUGGGGGGGGAACUAUUUUGUGAAUUUAUUAUUCAAUGCGUUUCUAUGGGCUAAUAGCAAUACUGUAACUCUUAAGGAUUAAAACACCAUUAUUGCACACAAUGCAACUCUUUGUGACUUGCUAAGCACCUGUUUACUCCUGAAUUUAUUUAGACUUGGCAAUAACAAAGGGGUUGAAUACUUCUUGACUCAAGGCAUGUCAGAUUUU
Molecule: long non-coding RNA, 1163 nt
Filed under: Salmo salar (Atlantic salmon)
Lineage: Eukaryota; Metazoa; Chordata; Actinopteri; Salmoniformes; Salmonidae
Description: lncRNA (ENSSSAG00000122175.1)
Source: RNAcentral